This 253-nucleotide ribosomal RNA is filed under the name uncultured bacterium. RNAcentral's name for it is "partial 16S ribosomal RNA". It matches the Rfam family "Bacterial small subunit ribosomal RNA", at positions 524 to 776 of the family's 1533-position model. The record is from RNAcentral.
UACAGAGGUCCCAAGCGUUGUUCGGAUUCAUUGGGCGUAAAGGGUGCGUAGGCGGCGCGGUAAGUCGGGUGUGAAAUCUCGGAGCUUAACUCCGAAACUGCAUUCGAUACUGCCGUGCUUGAGGACUGGAGAGGAGACUGGAAUUUACGGUGUAGCGGUGAAAUGCGUAGAUAUCGUAAGGAACACCUGUGGCGAAGGCGGCAUCCUGGACCGACAUUGACGCUGAACGGCGAAAGCUAGGGGAGCAAACGGG